UUGGAGGGCAAGUCUGGUGCCAGCAGCCGCGGUAAUUCCAGCUCCAAUAGCGUAUAUUAAAGUUGUUGCAGUUAAAAAGCUCAUAGUUGAAUUUCGGGGUUAGUAGGUUGGUCAUGCCACUGGUAUGUACUGGUCUCACUGAUUCCUCCUUCCUGAUGAGCCGUAAUGCCAUUAAUUUGGUGUUGCGAGGAAUCUGGACUGUUACUUUGAAAAAAUUAGAGUGUUUAAAGCAAGCUAACGCUUGAAUACAUUAGCAUGGAAUAAUGAAAUAGGACGUUCGAUCCUAUUUUGUUGGUUUCUAGGAUUGACGUAAUGAUUAAUAGGGAUAGUUGGGGGCAUUAGUAUUCAAUUGUCAGAGGUGAAAUUCUUGGAUUUAUUGAAGACUAACUACUGCGAAAGCAUUUGCCAAGGAUGUUUUCAUUAAUCAAGAACGAAAGUUAGGGGAUCGAAGACGAUCAGAUACCGUCGUAGUCUUAACCAUAAACUAUGCCGACUAGGGAUCGGAUGAUGUUAUUUUUAAUGACUCAUUCGGCGCCUUACGGGAAAC
Molecule: ribosomal RNA, 547 nt
Filed under: uncultured Glomeromycotina
Lineage: Eukaryota; Fungi; Glomeromycota
Description: SSU rRNA
Rfam family: Eukaryotic small subunit ribosomal RNA
Source: RNAcentral